GACGAACGCUGGCGGCGUGCCUAAUACAUGCAAGUAGAACGCUGAAGGAGGAGCUUGCUUCUCCGGAUGAGUUGCGAACGGGUGAGUAACGCGUAGGUAACCUGCCUGGUAGCGGGGGAUAACUAUUGGAAACGAUAGCUAAUACCGCAUAACAGUAGAUGUUGCAUGACAUUUGCUUAAAAGUUGCAAUUGCAUCACUACCAGAUGGACCUGCGUUGUAUUAGCUAGUUGGUGAGGUAACGGCUCACCAAGGCGACGAUACAUAGCCGACCUGAGAGGGUGAUCGGCCACACUGGGACUGAGACACGGCCCAGACUCCUACGGGAGGCAGCAGUAGGGAAUCUUCGGCAAUGGACGGAAGUCUGACCGAGCAACGCCGCGUGAGUGAAGAAGGUUUUCGGAUCGUAAAGCUCUGUUGUAAGAGAAGAACGAGUGUGAGAGUGGAAAGUUCACACUGUGACGGUAUCUUACCAGAAAGGGACGGCUAACUACGUG
Molecule: ribosomal RNA, 495 nt
Filed under: uncultured bacterium
Lineage: Bacteria
Description: partial 16S ribosomal RNA
Rfam family: Bacterial small subunit ribosomal RNA
Source: RNAcentral